RNAcentral lists this ribosomal RNA (497 nucleotides) under uncultured bacterium. Its description in RNAcentral is "partial 16S ribosomal RNA". It matches the Rfam family "Bacterial small subunit ribosomal RNA", at positions 28 to 507 of the family's 1533-position model. The record is from RNAcentral.
GAUGAACGCUGGCGGCGUGCCUAAUACAUGCAAGUCGAGCGAACGGACGAGAAGCUUGCUUCUCUGAUGUUAGCGGCGGACGGGUGAGUAACACGUGGAUAACCUACCUAUAAGACUGGGAUAACUUCGGGAAACCGUAGCUAAUACCGGAUAAUAUUUUGAACCGCAUGGUUCAAAAGUGAAAGACGGUCUUGCUGUCACUUAUAGAUGGAUCCGCGCUGCAUUAGCUAGUUGGUAAGGUAACGGCUUACCAAGGCAACGAUGCAUAGCCGACCUGAGAGGGUGAUCGGCCACACUGUGACUGAGACACGGUCCAGACUCCUACGGGAGGCAGCAGUAGGGAAUCUUCCGCAAUGGGCGAAAGCCUGACGGAGCAACGCCGCGUGAGUGAUGAAGGUCUUCGGAUCGUAAAACUCUGUUAUUAGGGAAGAACAUAUGUGUAAGUAACUGUGCACAUCUUGACGGUACCUAAUCAGAAAGCCACGGCUAACUACGUG